Molecule: ribosomal RNA, 406 nt
Filed under: uncultured bacterium
Lineage: Bacteria
Description: partial 16S ribosomal RNA
Rfam family: Bacterial small subunit ribosomal RNA
Source: RNAcentral
AUUGAACGCUGGCGGCAGGCUUAACACAUGCAAGUCGAGCGAGCGGCGGACGGGUGAGUAAUGUCUGGGAAACUGCCUGGGGGAGGGGGAUAACUACUGGAAACGGUAGCUACUACCGCAUACCAUCAGAUGUGCCCAGAUGGGAUUAGCUAGUGGGUGGGGUAAAGGCUCACCUAGGCGACGAGCCCUAGCUGGUCUGGGAGGAGUACCAGCCACCUGGGAACUGAGACACGGUCCAGACUCCUACGGGAGGCAGCAGUGGGGAAUAUUGCACAAGGGGCGAAAGCCUGAUGCAGCAAUGCCGCGUGUGGGAAGAAGGCCUUCGGGUUGUAAAGCCCUUUCAGCGAGGAGGCGUUACUCGCAGAAGAAGCACCGGCUAACUCCGUGCCAGCAGCCGCGGUAAUUC